RNAcentral lists this ribosomal RNA (468 nucleotides) under uncultured bacterium. RNAcentral's name for it is "partial 16S ribosomal RNA". It matches the Rfam family "Bacterial small subunit ribosomal RNA", at positions 28 to 507 of the family's 1533-position model. The record is from RNAcentral.
GACGAACGCUGGCGGCGUGCUUAACACAUGCAAGUCGAACGGAAAGGCCCUGCUUUUGUGGGGUGCUCGAGUGGCGAACGGGUGAGUAACACGUGAGUAACCUGCCCUUGACUUUGGGAUAACUUCAGGAAACUGGGGCUAAUACCGGAUAGGAGCUCCUGCUGCAUGGUGGGGGUUGGAAAGUUUCGGCGUUGGGGGAUGGACUCGCGGCUUAUGAGCUUGUUGGUGGGGUAGUGUCUUACCAAGGCUUUGACGGGUAGCCGGCCUGAGAGGGUGACCGGCCACAUUGGGACUGAGAUAGGGCCCAGACUCCUACGGGAGGCAGCAGUGGGGAAUAUGGCACAAUGGGCGGAGGCCUGAUGCAGCAACGCCGCGUGCGGGAUGACGGCCUUCGGGUUGUAAACCGCUUUCGCCUGUGACGAAGCGUGAGUGACGGUAAUGGGUAAAGAAGCACCGGCUAACUACGUG